RNAcentral lists this ribosomal RNA (433 nucleotides) under uncultured bacterium. Its description in RNAcentral is "partial 16S ribosomal RNA". It matches the Rfam family "Bacterial small subunit ribosomal RNA", at positions 29 to 507 of the family's 1533-position model. The record is from RNAcentral.
AACGAACGCUGGCGGCAUGCCUAACACAUGCGAGUCGAACGAGACCUUCGGGUCUAGUGGCGCACGGGUGCGUAACGCGUGGGAACCUGCCCUUAGGUUCGGAAUAACUCCCCGAAAGGGGUGCUAAUACCGGAUAAUGUCUUCGGACCAAAGAUUUAUCGCCUUUGGAUGGGCCCGCGUUGGAUUAGCUAGUUGGUAGGGUAAAAGCCUACCAAGGUGACGAUCCAUAGCUGGUCUGAGAGGAUGAUCAGCCACACUGGGACUGAGACACGGCCCAGACUCCUACGGGAGGCAGCAGUGGGGAAUAUUGGACAAUGGGCGAAAGCCUGAUCCAGCAAUGCCGCGUGAGUGAUGAAGGCCUUAGGGUUGUAAAGCUCUUUUACCCGGGAUGAUAAUGACAGUACCGGGAGAAUAAGCUCCGGCUAACUCCGUG